Molecule: transfer RNA, 103 nt
Filed under: Cercophora newfieldiana
Lineage: Eukaryota; Fungi; Ascomycota; Sordariomycetes; Sordariales; Lasiosphaeriaceae
Rfam family: tRNA
About the family: Transfer RNA (tRNA) molecules are approximately 80 nucleotides in length. Their secondary structure includes four short double-helical elements and three loops (D, anti-codon, and T loops).
Source: Rfam by way of RNAcentral
GGGCAGGUAGCGUAGUGGUCAGCGCAUCUCUAAGCGUAUUCAGCGUUGCUUUCUUUUUCUCCAGCGUUUAGCGAAGACCCAGGUUCAAAUCCCGGCCUGCCCA